This is a long non-coding RNA of Pungitius pungitius (ninespine stickleback), 371 nucleotides long. RefSeq lists it as uncharacterized. NCBI's taxonomy places the organism in Eukaryota, Metazoa, Chordata, Actinopteri, Perciformes, Gasterosteidae. The transcript is spliced from 3 exons. The record is from RefSeq and is a predicted model, not a curated record.
CACGAUGCUGCCCACCUCGGAGAAGGUCCAGUACUCGGUGGGGAGGGUGGAGCACACCAGGACCCAGCCGCACAGACAGGACACGAAGCCGCCGAUCUCCAUGUACAUCACCACCUCCCGGUAGUUCAUGUGGUCCGCAACAAGAGUGCAGCCUGGGAUCUGAGCCCCGUGUCCUCCACAUCUUCCCAUUCAGCUAAAUAGAAGACAGAUGUUGGCAGAGGAUGACAAAUGGAGGCAAUAAUGCCGCAUGUGAAGAGCGGCUUGCACACCGACCACACGUAGAAGAAGCCGCCGGUGAAGUGGAAGGCGGAGCCAACCCAGCCGAGGAACAUCGGGGUGCCGAGGUCGUACCUGGCGUCGUGGAAACGGGA